UAAAGCAAAUUGCACGGUUCAAUAGUUAAAUACUCUAAAUCCAAGUUUAUUGUUCGAAUAUUUAAAAUGUUUUCAAAAACCAUUAUACUGUUUUUUUGCGUGGCAUUGUAUUUUUCGAAAUGUCAAGGUUCUGGUCCUAGUCAAAAUCAACUUGAAACGAUUUUAAGAAUAGUUUAUCAACAUUUCCAGCCGAAUGAACUGAACUACGAAAAGUUAUCAAGUAUAUUUUACCAAGUAAAACAUGAAACGAACGCAAAUACUGGAGAUCUUCCCAGCCUUGAUGAUUUUUUAACGCUAGUAGAAAACAGUUUAUUUACGAGAGAUGAAGUUGAAACCGCCGCCCGA
Long non-coding RNA from Adelges cooleyi (spruce gall adelgid), 345 nucleotides. RefSeq lists it as uncharacterized. NCBI's taxonomy places the organism in Eukaryota, Metazoa, Arthropoda, Insecta, Hemiptera, Adelgidae. The transcript is spliced from 3 exons. The record is from RefSeq and is a predicted model, not a curated record.